AUUGAACGCUGGCGGCAUGCCUUACACAUGCAAGUCGAACGGCAGCACGGGAGCAAUCCUGGUGGCGAGUGGCGAACGGGUGAGUAAAGUAUCGGAACGUGCCCAGUCGUGGGGGAUAACGUAGCGAAAGUUACGCUAAUACCGCAUACGAUCUAUGGAUGAAAGCGGGGGAUCGCAAGACCUCGCGCGAUUGGAGCGGCCGAUAUCAGAUUAGGUAGUUGGUGGGGUAAAGGCUCACCAAGCCGACGAUCUGUAGCUGGUCUGAGAGGACGACCAGGCAGAGUGGGACUGCGACAGGGCCCAGACUCCUACAGGAAGCAGCAGGGGGGAAUUUUGGACAAUGGGCGAAAGCCUGAUCCAGCCAUGCCGCGUGCAGGAUGAAGGCCUUCGGGUUGUAAACUGCUUUUGUACGGAACGAAAAGGUUUGGCCUAAUAAGCUGAGCUCAUGACGGUACCGUAAGAAUAAGCACCGGCUAACUACGUGCCAGCAGCCGCCGCCG
RNAcentral lists this ribosomal RNA (500 nucleotides) under uncultured bacterium. RNAcentral's name for it is "partial 16S ribosomal RNA". It matches the Rfam family "Bacterial small subunit ribosomal RNA", at positions 29 to 523 of the family's 1533-position model. The record is from RNAcentral.